UCCCGACUAGGUGUAGAUCAUUUGCACCACUUGCUCACCUACCCAAGGGCCAAGUGGUAUAGACCAGCCAGCUAAUCAGCCCAAAAGUACUUUAUAGUGGCAGUACAAGUAAAUAGCUGAUGAGUCACUAUCCUUCAAAACUGCAUUCGGGCAAUAUUAUUGCUACAGGAGGCCAAGCCAAGGUGUCUAUAAAAGGAGAAAGAGAAAUCAGACUCAAGGCCACUCAAACAAACCAACAAAUACAAGCACAAACUCUGCUCAAAGCCAGAUUUGCCUUCAAAACGAAGCUGUACUCAGCCUAAGCCUUCAUCCCUUUCGGGAUAAACCCUUUGUAAUAGCUCUGCUACCCUGUUCAACUCUUGCUGUAGUAUCGAUUUCUUUCUGUAAACUCACCUCCCAACCCCUUUUCUAAGCUUUCAAACCUCCUGAUAAACCACAAAGAUAGGAAGUUGCAAGACGAUCAGCCUUGCCUGACAAGGUUAAACCUUGCCCGACCCUCUUUGUUUUUGUCUUUUCAUUCAUUAGCCUAGCAAUAUGUUGUAUACUACAAGUUGUAUCCAAGUUAUUUCUAGUAAUAUGGCUAUUAAAAGACUCUCUCAGCGUUUGAAUCCGAUUUGAAUAUGUCUUCACAGUUCAAGCCAUAUCUAAGUUCUAAGCCCUCGGGCAUGUAAGAUUUGAUCACUCAAAAAGUCAUUGGCCUCAAAGCAUAAAAAAAAACCUGAUGUGGACUUAACCCAUCCACGACAAGCUUUGAUAACAAGAAGUUCGAAGUUACUUGAGGCGCAAGUAAUCGACCUGUCACUUAGUUUUAUUUCUAUUAUAUUAUGAUUACCAUAGAACGUUCGAGUACGAAAUGAAUUCUGAUGGGAAGCCUCAAGGCCUAUCUAAGGCCCUACAAAGGCACCUAUUUGGAUUCAUCCUGUUUCUUGGGCUAGAACAUUGAGUAUAGAAGGAGUUCUGAUGGGAAGCCUCAAGGCCUAUCUAAGGCCCUACAAAGGCACCUAUUUGGAUUCAUUCUGCUCUUCGGGCUCAGGUAAUCAGAAGUAUAAUGGUUAUAAGACUCAGAUAACCAAGAAAAUGAACCUUAUGUAUUCGAGUACUACGUUAGUUAUUAACGGGAAGCCUCAAGGUCUACACCUAAGGCCUCACAAAGGCACCUGUCAAUAACUAACAUAGUCUCUCGAAUAUAUAUAUAAUUAAAACCCAACAUCCGUUUUACGUCUGCCAUGUUGAAGAUGGCAGUGGCACGCCUGAGCACUUAAAAGUUAAUCUUGAUUGUGAGCCUCAAGGCCUACACCUAAGGCCCCAUAAAGGCACCUUUCAAAGUUAACUUUGUCCUUCUCUUUCAGCCUUGCCUGACAAGCCGCUAGUAAAGCAGAAGCCCGACAGAAAGCAUCAACCGGCGCCGACCUCUCGGGAAGCUGUGUGCUCGUCGGCUAGGAAGCAUCCCCGACGGAAAUUCCUGCCACGAACAUAGUUUUGGCACGCCCUGUGGGAUUUCAUUUGUGUGGAUCUUGCAUGUCCAAGAAGAAAGGCCAUAAACUUUGCAGAAAAAAUACGAAGGACGGUUCUUCUCAACUUUUGCUACUAAUGACAGAUCAAUCGGGAAAUCCUUCUUCCCCAUCAGGACAGGUGGUCCUAGAAAGCCUAUCUUCAUCCGGGAAGUCGGAAGGGAAAGGAACUAAUGAGGAAUUAUAGGCUACUAUGAUACAAGUAUUGAGAAGUAUGGAAAAAAUCUCUUUGGAGACCAAGAGGGAAGUCAGUAGACUGUGUACCUUAACAGGGAAUUUACAGAGAAGGUUAGAUCUGGAGUUUUCCAUUCCAAAAGGCGCUCAAGGGAGUGGGAUGAGCCAGGUUACCAUCAGAAGUGAACCGGUCAUUCCCCUAUUUCCACUAUUAGAAGAAGAAACAGAUAGGGGAAAGAAGAAAGCAGUUCCUGAAGGAAGUCAACCCGUGAUAUAGCCGGUCCUGGGGAAAGAGUUUCCUAGCUUCCCAUUAUUAUCAUUUAAUAACAGGAAGCAAAGCGAGCGGGAAAGGACAAAGUAUGGGAUGCCCAUAGUAACAGGAGAGUCCAGCCAAAAAGAAAGUUCCGCAGCUUCGGACAAACCUUUUCCUUAUAGGCCACCCCCAUUGGCUCAUAAGGAAGGGGGAACCAACUGGAGAAAGCCUGAAUCAAAGAAAGAAGCAUUCACAGGCAAUGACCGAAGCCCGAAGAACGAGUCCGCCCUUCUCUUCCAGAAUAAUACAGCUACUCAACAACUAAGGGAUGAGUUGGCUGAAUUAAGGGACGCAAUGGUUCAAAAUGCUCAACCACGAGCUCGCCCAGUGUUCAGGAUUACUUAUCAAAAGCCUUAUCCUGAAUACAUUGAUGAGCAGAAUCCAUUUCCUCUCAACUUCAAGAUGCUCGCAUUCCUAACAUUCACAGGUGAAGAUAGCAGUGUGUCCUCCAGAGAUUACAUUUUCAAAUUCUCUAAUCACUGUGUGGCAUAUGAAGACAACUCAAACUACAAGUUAAGGUUGUUUGGGAAUUUGUUGGCAGGACUUGCAUCCCAGUGGUAAUCUCUAUUACCCCCUAACUCUAUUGCCAACUGGGGGCAAAUGGAUAUGGCUUUUCAUGAACAAUUUUACAGAAUAGAACCAGAAAUGACUAUUAAUGAUCUGGUUGAAGUCAAACAAUAUGAGCAUGAGUCCACAAAAGACUUCAUGAUGAGGUUCAGGAAGAUAAGGAUGAGGUGCUAAUUCCUUGUUAACCAAGCUUAGCUCAUAUCAAUUGCUCAAAGGGCUCUGAGAUUACCUUUGAGGAAAAGAUUUUAUGAUACACAAUUUAACGAGCUACAGGAAUUAGUCAUUGCUGCCACAAAAUAUGAAAGGCUAUUGCUAGAAGAACAGCAAGUGAAGCAUACUUCCAGAACUCCUCCCUUCUACAAAAACAAAGCUGCAAUUCAUCAUGUGGAGGUAGGAGAAAUUGGGCCAGAGCAGGAGGAUGACCAUGAUAGAGAGGAAAUCGAGGUAUGUGCUACUGAGAUGACUACGCCUUUUAAACCAUUGACGGUGAAAGGAUUAGUUCAACCCAUCAAGGACCAGAAGAUUGUGAUGAACGAUGGAGGCUUUGUUCCGAUGAAACCUCCCAAGUACCAGAGCUAUUCGUUCGAUUUGGCCAAAGCACCUGAGAUUUAUGAAGAGCUGGUGCGGGCAAGAGUGAUUGUGCCCGACAGUACGAAAAAGAUACCCAAACCAGAAGAGUUGAAGGGAAAGAAGUAUUGCAAGUUACACUAUACCUUCUACCAUUCUAUAACCAAUUGUGUCCAGUUCAGAGACUGGAUACAAGACUUUAUAGUGAAGGGAAAGUUGUUACUUGACAAGCCACAAGCUAGUAUGAUGGUUGAUACCAAUCCUUUCCCGGAAGCUCCUAUCAAUGCGAUCCAUCUAGUUUAGAUGGAGAAGCCAGUGUCAUCAAUUGUUAUGACAGAUGGGAAAAAUGGAUCUCAGGUUGUCACAACACCCUCGCUCAAAUAAAGAAGAAAGUAAACAAGGGGGCAAAGAGUUGCCCGAAAGAAGUUCAGACAAGGGCCAGAAGCAAAGCAAGCAAAAGACAAGUACAUGUUCAUUCCAUUAAAAGAGGGAUUACAAGUAAUCCUAGUCUAAUAAUUUUACAUCUUCACUCAAGGUGAUUAUUCGAGAGUGAUAUGUCUGCAUGAUUGUAAAAAUCCUACUAGGUUCGGCCAGGACAGUGUGGCUAUUUGCAAGUUGAGAUUUAGAAUGCUCUAACUCCGAGUUUGUCUUCUUCACUUCUUCGAUUUGAUUUUCGAGGGUGUCAAGAAGAGUUGCUUGCUCAGCCUUGAGAACAACCAGUUGUUCCUCUAGUUUUUGGAUUUCAGAAGUCACCAUUCCAAUCCUUUCUUUUGUUAAUGAACCAUCAUUCAUCAACUUUUCUACCUGAGUAGAAAUACUUGAUUCUUUCUCCUGGAAACAUCUUACAUGAUUGGCUUGUCUUUCUGCUCUCUUAUGUUGGUCCCGAAGAGCCCUCAAAUUCUCAAAGAAAGAGAGAAAGGAAUCAUGUUGGGUUUUUGAUAGUUGGCGGGCUUUCAAAAGCUCACUCGUAACCUUUUCCAGAUCAUAAAGAGCCUUAAGGCUAAAUGAAGCGGAGAAAUCCUUCCUUGCCCAUUCUUGGAAAACUCGAUUCUGCUCUGGAAAACCUGAAAGUGAAGAAUGCUUCGAAGAUUUCAACCUUGUCUCAAGCUACCCGAAUUCUUCAAACAGUUCGAGCAACUUAGCAGUUUUUGAAAAUGGAGAAGCAGGAGGGGGAUUUCGCACUCCAGUUUCCUCUAAGGAGGUAGUGCCUACUGAUGAGGCAGUUUUUAGCUCCCCGGCCUUCUCAAUUCCAGGAUGAACAAUCCCGGCACUCCCAAUAGUUAAAUGAGGUCGGGGGAGCUUUGACUUACAAACCAAGCGAGGAGGAGAAGUUUCUUCAAGAACUUGCUGCAAAGACCAAAAGAAUAUCAAAUUGUGAAAUAUACAGUUUGAAGUGAAGGGAAGUUUUGGGAGGAAGAAAUAUACCUGACUAAGCCUUGAAGCCUCACAAGGAAGAGUACCAAUUCCUGGUUGAGGAGAAGACUCCCUACCACUGACAGGGGAAGAAAAAACUGCACCUGAACCUUAACCAAUACCCUGGAAGUGCCCAGGAAUGGCAGCAAUUGUUAGUAAACAGAUGGUAAGAGAAGAACAGGAAGAAAAUAUCUCCUUACCAAAGUUCGACCCUGAGGAGAUGAAGGAGGUUUAUCAAGGGUAACUGUCGGGCAGGCAAACACAUGCAAAGUAGUUGCUUCUGAAGUCACAGGAAUCUCAGGGACUAUGGGUUCAUCACUUGUUGCCACUAAUGAAUGUUGUAUUGAAGAAGGUUGAGGAAGAGGUAAAUAGAGUUAAUAUCCAAACAAUGUAUGGGAAAUCAAUGUAAGGAUGGUUACUCACCAAAUUAUUGUCCUCAUCCACGAAGUGCAACAUUACUCCCUUGGAUGGAUCAAAUUGAGAAGAUGGAGUUGCCUUCAGGACAGAAGGAGAAAUCAAAGGAGAACCUUGACUAGGGGAAGGGGCAGAUACCCCGACCUGGAUGAAGACAGAAGAAGGAAAAAGAUCAGGCAUUAGCCCCAUAAAUUAUAAAAGUUACCUAAGGUUUAAGAAGAAAUGGAGUAUACCUCCGAAGGACUAACCCGGGGGGGGAGAAAGGUUUGUUUCUUAGGCAAGUGGUGAAGAAACCUCGGGCGGAUGGAGCUUUUCCUUUCUUGCAGCCUGACUCAAGUAAUCAUGCUCAGGAUUUUUGUGAAAACAGGAAAGACUAUGCAGACAUAAAAGUAAACUAUACCUCAAGUUCUUUAAGGGUGAGGUUUCGUAAUUCUUCAGCCUUUUUAUACAUUUCAGCUCCUAAUGGUUCAUCCUUGGAAGCAAUGGUUGGUUUCUUUGAUGCUUGAGGUCUUGUGUUCAAGAAAAACAUAGGUAACUAGAUAAAGAAGAAAGGUGGCAACCUGACAAAAAAAAAAAAAAAAAAAAAAAAAGAACACAACUGACUUGAAGAUUUUUGCUUUUUUCUGCCUGCCUCAGAAAUUGGAGCAGGUGGGUCUGAAGACUUGAGAGUUGGACGGUUCUGGUUCUCUUACUCUUUCUAGUAGGAGUAGGAAUUCGUCGUUUAGUCUUGGGUGGGGAUGCAGGAUCAGAAUCUGAGUUCUCAAUCACAACUGCUUUCCUUCGCUUAGACACUUGGAUGGUGGCUUCAGGCGCUUCUUUUUCAGCUCCUGAAUCUUCUGAAACAUCCCCACCUUCUCCAGCUUCUCGCCUUUCAGCCUCCGCCGCAGCUCCAUAAAGAACUGCUGCAUCAACUGAGUCAUCCUCGGACUCAGUAGGUAUUGAUUCAACAUCCACUUGGGCUGCAAGGUUAAGUGGGGAAAAAGUUAAAAGGGAUCAAGAGAAGGGUUACGAAAUCAAGAUAAAAAGAAGAAAUACCUAUCAGAAGAACCUGAUUCUUCUCUUGAAUCAUCUCCUUCCAAUUUUCAAGUUCGCCCGAACUGGGAUAUGAUUUAAGAGAAAGUUGACUGAAAAGGCGAUCAUGAGUCUCUCUCAAAUCUCCUCCAUAUUUCUUGGUCCAUUUGUCUUCCCACCAAGAAGAAAAGAGUGAAGUGCAUUCAAAAUUAAGGAUGAUGGACUUUCGGGCAGCCUGACUCAUGACUUCAAGACUGCGUCGGGCAGCUCUAAAGGUCGCCUCAGAGGGAGAUACUAAACGAAAGGAAGUGCCACAAUGAACAGAAUCAAAAAAUGGGAUGGGGAUGGUUUGCCUAAAGCCUAAUUACCUGCUGCAAAAGUUAGGGUGAUACACCUUCAACCCUCGAUCGUAUCGAUUGCCCCGAACUCCCAGGCCAUGUCUCUCGAUUGAAUGCAACUAAUAAAUUUUUCCCUACAAGAGGAGGUGGCAUCUUCUCCAGGAGCAUCUUGAAAGGCCUGGUCAGAGAACCAAGGAUAUCUUCUCAAGACUGACGCACCCCAUUCCAGGUAUGAUCGAGUCCUACAAACCUUAAAGAAAUAAAAGCAGGCGAAGGUGGAGUGAUCAGUAGGAGCAGUUUCGGCUAGGAUUCGGGCGAGGGCCACACCUUCUGGGAACUCUAAAUUGGCAGCCCGAAACUCUGGAAAGUACCAUUGAAGCCAUGUUUGUAUCAUCCAUAUGGGUCCAUUCAGGUUAGUCUCAAAUGGCUCACCUUAAGUCAUUUCGAAGAGAAGAUGGUAAAGAUGAGAAAGAAUGAAUGGACCUGUUGCUACAUCAUCGAAGUUAUGAAGAGUUUCCACCAAGGGGAUCCAUUCAACCUUCACUCCUUUAGAUUUAUUAGGGAAGAUAUGUUUGUUGAGCCAGUAUAAGAGGAAAUACAUGUGCUCUUGAUCUCUAUCAGCACGGGAAGAACUUGCUCCAAAAUUUUCUUUUACAAAAGGGAUGAAUCCCUUGAACAAGGUCUCGUAACUCUUGAAGGUUGUAGAGUUAUAUUCCAAGGAGAGGAAGGAUGUGGAUGAACCUGAGCUUUCAGCAAUUUAGGGGAGAGCCCAGUCUUGAGUAACGUCUACUAUCCUGACCGAUGGCCUUAACCCGAAGACUUGAGCCAUAUCUAGAAUAGUCGGAGACAUGGGACCCAUGUGAAAGUCAAAAGUGUUUUUGCCCGAAUUCCAGAAAAGAAGAGAAGAAGCAAGCAGUUCGAGCUUGGGAAUAAUGGUGGUUUUUUGGAGCAUUAUCAACUCGUAAAUGCCAUUAUUCAUCCAUUUCUUCUUAAAAGUUGGCUCUAGUUCGUCAAUCCAUUGAGCCCAAGCCGGAUCAUUCAUCAAUGGAAAGCCUCGGCGAUAUGACGACCACUUAGAUGAGGAAAUGCCCGACUUAGCCAAAAGGGGAUUUGGAGAAAACCAGUUAUCCUUGGGCAUAUUGUCCUCUAUCACUGCAGGGACCCGAGAAAUCCAUACGGGACCCAACGAUUGUACCCCAUGUACUUCAAAGAAAAGCUCAGAAUACAAACCUGCUCGAGGGAGAUGCAGGCCGUUGAGUAAACGGCGCAAAGUGGCGAUGCCUUCGCCAAAUUCGUAUGAUAGUUGGAUUUGGCUGGAUCCUGAAGCCAUUUGAUGAAGUUUGGAAAUGGAACGGCAAGGAAGAUGACAAGGAUAGAAGGUGUCGGGCAAAAGGCAGCAGAGAAUUUGAAAGAUUUAGAAAAGGAAAAAAUGACUGAGGAGUUAGAAAGUUUUUUAUUACAAAGAUAAGAAGAAUACAGAAGAUUCGGAAGUGAUGGAAUAACCGAAGAAAUGCGGUGAUUGCUUUUGAAAAUUGUGCAAAUUCUGGGAACGAAAGACGUGGGUAUUAAUAGAGACCUAUUCAAUCAAUAUUGGCGCCUGGAAUUCCAGUCUGAAUAUUGAUUGAAGGGGGCACUGUUUGGGUUAAAACUUAAACUUUGGGCUUAGAAGGGAGUUGGCCCAAAAAGAGGAGAAAAGCCCGAAGCACAGCCCAAGCCCAGAAGGCAGAAAAGGGCUUUCCAAACUAGGUGCAGAUCAUUUGCACCACUUGCUCACCUACCCAAGGGCCAAGUGGUAUAGACCAGCCAGCUAAUCAGCCCAAAAGUACUUUAUAGUGGCAGUACAAGUAAAUAGUUGAUGAGUCACUAUCCUUCAAAACUGCAUUCGGGCAAUAUUAUUGCUACAGGAGGCCAAGCCAAGGUGUCUAUAAAAGGAGA
Molecule: long non-coding RNA, 8243 nt
Filed under: Malus domestica (apple)
Lineage: Eukaryota; Viridiplantae; Streptophyta; Magnoliopsida; Rosales; Rosaceae
Description: long non-coding RNA (MDOM_LNC019876)
Source: RNAcentral